Molecule: long non-coding RNA, 761 nt
Filed under: Trifolium pratense (red clover)
Lineage: Eukaryota; Viridiplantae; Streptophyta; Magnoliopsida; Fabales; Fabaceae
Description: long non-coding RNA (TPRA_LNC012354)
Source: RNAcentral
AAGUGUAAUACCAAAAAAAAAAAGGGUAUAAGUGUAUAUAUUUUUUUUUUACAAUCAGUAUGUGUAUAUUUAAAACUAAAUAAGUAAAUAUAAUUUAUUAUUUCAAUACAUGGAUUUUAUUAUUUCACGUAAAAGAAUUCUCUAGAACCUAAAUUUUGAUUAAUAAAAAAAAUAAAAAUGACUCUUUAAUUAAUCUUUCCAAUUCCAAUGAAAUGAUAGAACUUAAAAAUUCCAUCUUUCAUCUCCCUCGUUCUCAACUUUGUCUCUGAAAUUUCUCAACCUGUGUAUUUCUUCAAGAACUUUAUUGUUGGCUACAACAACAUUAGACCCACCAACACCUUUUCUUUCCUCUUUCUUGUUGGCAAAAUCCCUUGUUUUUGUCGAAGAUUCUAUGAAAUUGACCGUUUUCCUCACUAUUUCUCGUCAUCUUCCACUUUCAUUUUUAUUUUCCAUCAGAUCUGCUUAUUUUCCUCACUAUUGAAGCUUGAAGAUGUUCAGUGGAGGAGGAAAUUGAAGAAGAAGAAGUUAGGGGUAGUUAGGUAAGUAUACAUGUGACUGAAAAUUAAUAGCUUGGAUUCGAUUCUGCUUUGACGUGGAAGCUCCAAAUUGUGGCUUUCAAAUUACUCACGUCUGGGUAGUAAACCGCGUAAAGGAGAAUCAAUUUUGCUUUUAGCCAAACAAACCAGAAACUGCCAGAAUCACGUUUGGAGAAGGAAGACUCACGUUUGGGGUUGUGAAACUCCAAACCAAACAGACGCUAA